Molecule: long non-coding RNA, 531 nt
Organism: Danio aesculapii
Lineage: Eukaryota; Metazoa; Chordata; Actinopteri; Cypriniformes; Danionidae
Exons: 4
Source: RefSeq, a predicted model, not a curated record
AUGAGUGCUCAGGCCAUGCUUCUUUGUGAAGUAUUGCCAGUUAACCUGUCGUACCAAGCGUUGUUCCUAGUGAUUUUCUUGACUGCAUUCCUGUGUAUGAUCCUGCCUGCCUUAACCACAUUUUCAUCUUUUUUCUCCUAAAUAUCUUGGAACCACUUGAGGAUGAGUAAAAAGGACAGACGGGUUUCCUCAGUCUUCCCGAUCCGCUCAGAACUGGACCCUGGCGGUUGCUAGAACCUGCCGGUGUGUCUUCAGCGUCGCCAUGGAAACGUCUCCCUCACCGUAAUCACGACCCAUCACGUGCUGAUCAGGGACAGCUGCAGCCCAUUGGAAGAGGGGUAUUUAACAGACACUGUCGACAUCGACAAGGAGAGCAUGACUAGGAUGACAGCAGGAACCACGCUGACAUCUCCCUGUUCCACUGGGCACCCUGACCGGCACUUCACUGCACGAGCUCACCGGACCCCUUUGGACACGGAACUCACCGCCCUGCACAUCCCCACGCACCUUUUCCCUGCUCCACUCCCUGAA